AAAGCCUUAAGUUAAAUAAACUAAUAACCUUCAAAGUUAAAAAUACAAAAAUUGUAAGCUUUA
RNAcentral lists this transfer RNA (63 nucleotides) under Onomaus tenuis. Its description in RNAcentral is "tRNA-Trp". The record is from RNAcentral. Lineage: Eukaryota; Metazoa; Arthropoda; Insecta; Hemiptera; Miridae.